This 94-nucleotide ribosomal RNA is filed under the name Legionella pneumophila. Lineage: Bacteria; Pseudomonadati; Pseudomonadota; Gammaproteobacteria; Legionellales; Legionellaceae. The record is from RNAcentral. RNAcentral also lists the same sequence under 1 other name.
CCUGGCGACUAUAGCGAUUUGGAACCACCUGAUACCAUCUCGAACUCAGAAGUGAAACAUUUCCGCGCCAAUGAUAGUGUGAGGCUUCCUCAUG